Long non-coding RNA from Plutella xylostella (diamondback moth), 352 nucleotides. RefSeq lists it as uncharacterized. The record is from RefSeq and is a predicted model, not a curated record. Lineage: Eukaryota; Metazoa; Arthropoda; Insecta; Lepidoptera; Plutellidae.
UGGAGGUACCUAACUAUUAGUGUUGCUUGAUAUUAUUGAUAAUAAUUAUGUUUUAUAAAACUUGUGAAAUAUGUGGUUUAAGAGCCGCUAGCCGGUCGUAUAGAUGGCCAAAAGAGAAUUUUCAUGGCCAAAUUUCCACUGGAUGAGGAAAGAUGUAAACAGUGGGUUAAGAUGACCGGUAAGGAGGAUCUGGUUUAUGUGCCUAUUGAAAAGCUACAUCAACUUAAACGAAUUUGUGGCAAUAAUUUUCUACCACAACAUUUUAAGAACACAAUUGAAAAAAAAACAAUUCCAUGUGUGGGACUUACUGCAGACACUUUAUUUUAUAAUAAAUAAAUAUAAUUAUAUUUUU